Molecule: ribosomal RNA, 269 nt
Filed under: uncultured bacterium
Lineage: Bacteria
Description: partial 16S ribosomal RNA
Rfam family: Bacterial small subunit ribosomal RNA
Source: RNAcentral
AACGAACGCUGGCGGCGCGCCUAAUACAUGCAAGUCGAGCGAGAAGACGUAGCAAUACGUUUGUAAAGCGGCGAACGGGUGAGGAAUACAUGGGUAACCUACCCUCGAGUGGGGAAGUAACUAGCCGAAAGGUUAGCUAAUACCGCGCACGCUCCUUGGACUUCGGUUCAGGGAGGAAAGCGAUACCGUGGGUAGUCGCGCUCUUGGAUGGGCGUCAUGUCCUAUCAGCUUGUUGGUGAGGUAACGGCUCACCAAGGCUUCGACGGGUA